Molecule: long non-coding RNA, 2931 nt
Organism: Lutra lutra (Eurasian river otter)
Lineage: Eukaryota; Metazoa; Chordata; Mammalia; Carnivora; Mustelidae
Exons: 2
Source: RefSeq, a predicted model, not a curated record
GCACUUCCUGCCCUUCACCACAAUGAACAUCUUCCACGGGGAGGCAGGAAAACCUACAACUGGCUUAGAAGACUUGGGUCUUACUUCCCAUCUGCCAGAGAACCUUUAGCUCCAUGCCGUGGAGCCUCUGCCUACAAAGAGCUGGGUUUCCGUUCCUGCCAACCUCAGAGGCCUGGUCGCCAUAUUAAUGAGGAUGUACAAAUAUGAGCUGAAAAGACCAAUCGGUACGAUGAGAGUGUUGUUGCGACAAGGCCCACACCAAGGUUCUUGGGUCCUCUGGGCUCUGGUGGUCUGACUUGGCACAGACAGAGCUACCAAAAAUACCUAUUAUAAAAACAUCCACAAACAUUGCGACACAAUGAAUCGUUCUGAAAAGAGGCAAGGAACCCACUGAACCCUAAACUAGCACCCAGCAGCUAGCACGGGGCCUGGUAGCCUGCAGGCCCCUCCACUGGGAUGAGCUGAGAGAAGAAUGAGGGAACGAAUGAGGCAGCAGCGCCAUGCUCAUUAAUUAUAGAUGCCCACCCAAAAGCCUUUAGCCGGAUCUUCCUUUCUGAGUCUCUGUGGGUGGCCAGGUGACUAAGCAUUGGCCAGUGGUAAGCACAUGGAAGUUGCUAGGCGGAGCUUUACAGAAAGCUCCUUGCAAAUGGGAGCUGACUCAGCAGAGACUUCUUUACUUGUCCUCCUUCUUCAUUCUUGGAACGAGAAUAUGAUGGCUGGACUGGAGAGGCCAUUUUGCGACCACGAGGCAACUCUGAGGCCAUGCCCUAAGGAAGGCUGCGCAGAAAGGACGGUGACUAUUAGGAACUUAGACUAGCAGCAGAAGGUAGUUCCUAAUUUACACACCAACUGUCCUGCUGGCUGUGGAAAGAGCUGUGUAAAAAAUCAUGUGAAAAGUGGCUAACGAGGAGAAAUCACCGAGGCCAAGUUUAGAGCCUGUGGUCGUCUCAGGUACAACUAGGAUUCUGAACAUAGUAGCCCCAUUUGCGAGAUGGGCAACAAGGACAAAGGGGAAGAAGAGAGGAGAAAGGCCACGAGGGAGGCAGCAGGUGGCACUGGAUCCGAGGCGGCCUGGAGAGAGACACAAGGCCAGACAUCUGUCUCAUGCCAUCUUCCUCCGUGAGCGGUUCAACGAAAUGAUGCCAAUUUAUUUAACAAAUUACUUUUGUUGUCACUGAGUUUUUAUUUGUUUUUAAAGCAUCUACUAUGUACUGGUAAUUGUAGGGGCCUCGGGACACAAACACGAGGAGCUCAGCAUCUGCCCUACGGGAGCGCACGUCUUCACGGGGGCAGCCAGCCGUACAGCUCGACUGUUCAAGAGCCGAGGAGGAGAGAAUACGGCUCCUCAGAAAUUGGCAUGAGUCAUUCACUGUAGUAAAACCAAUUCUGAAAGAUACUAAAAACAAAAGAGAGGUUCAUUAGCUGCCUUUAGGGAACCGAUGAAUUGUUCCUCAAACUGGCAAACAGAGGGUAAGAAUCAAGUCUGCAUCUUUUUCUUAAUACAACUGUGUUUCGGAAUAACCAAGCCACUGACGAGACAGAGACUCCCUUUCCAGAAGUGUCCAGGGAGUGAAUGAAGGAUUACGGCCCCGAAACUCCUGGUGUAAUAGAUGAUGACCAGGCCAUCCGCCCCCGAUGGAAAGACACGUAGGACUACGGACGGCGUGUUCUUGUGGAAAACAUUCAACCUGAAUCCGCUCAAGCCUCUGGGUCAACUGCGGUGUCCGGAAAAUACAGGGUCAGAGGAAUAACACGAUGUAAACGAUACCAGGAGGAAGCAAUCACUAGUCCAGCCUGGGGAGCAUCCUAUAGGACAAAUGAACCAGCAUUUCCCACAGUAAGACUGCAAGGAAAAAAGUGGACACUGACAGACAAAGAGGGACCCUGGAAGGAGGGACCUUAUCUGGAUCUUGACUUGGACGCACCAGUGGGUAAACUAAGGCUUGCCAGACUGUCAAGGACAACUGGACACGGACUGGGAAUUUAAUGACACUGAAGAGUUACGGCUAAUUUUUUUAGGUGCUCUCUGAGGCUGGCAGAGGUGCGCUCUCCUCACCGUGUGCAGGAAAUGCCACGGUCCUAGGCUCAUCCCGGCCCCAUGUGUCAAGGCCCGAGGCCAGGCCACAGACCAGACGUUUCUGCCCUGGGCCAGGGGAGCACACCUGGAGAGGCCAUCCAGUGAGAUGGGCGUGGGCUGUCCAGAUGGGCGUCUCUCAAUUGGCUUCAUGGAACCAUCUGGAUUCCCACAAACCAGGGGACACCCUUUACCAUGAGCACAGUUGAAAAAGGGCGCCAGGAAGCCUCCCACACCAGGUAGGCAGCCUUUGCAAUACAAAAACAACACUGGAGAAUUAAUCGAGUCUGCUUUCUCACUGCCAGCAUGGGGAAGGGGUGAGAAGAGAGCAUGGAGAAGGGUCUGGCAGCGGAGGGGCGGGGGGGAGGUAGAACCCAGGGCACAGAUGUUGGGCCAAGUCUACCUGUGAGUAGAAAGUAUGCGUGACACCUUUGCCUCAUUCUCUUGUUGCUUAGUUCAAAGAGGAUGGUGGGGAAAAUACUUGUUCUUUUGAUCUCUAUAAAUCAAAGUAUAAACUCUGUGCCAAAAUAAUUUAACAGCUGUGCCCUUUUUUCUUAAAAUUAUUAGUUCUGAAACCAGAAAACACAAAAAGUAGAAAAAUAUCCAAAUGCUAUCUUAUGAACCAAGUAUUUCUUCAUUAUAAGAAAAAAAAGGCAACCUAACAACAACAAAAAAACUAUACAAAAUACAAAUGACAUGGGCACAAUUUUUUUCCUCCUUUAUAACCUAAAUUUGGGAGGACCUCAGGAGCAAUCUUUAGAAGCCUUUGAUAACAAAAAAAAAAAAAAAAAAAAGGAGGGAUGUUAAUCGUGUAGGAACUUCUGAAUGAAACAGAGCUGGAGGGGAGGAGCAGAAGA